GCCUCGGUGGUGUGCUCGAGACGCUCGCCUGGUGAACAGGAGGGCGUGGGUUCAAUCCCACCCGAGGUA
Molecule: transfer RNA, 69 nt
Filed under: Diaphorina citri (Asian citrus psyllid)
Lineage: Eukaryota; Metazoa; Arthropoda; Insecta; Hemiptera; Psyllidae
Rfam family: tRNA
About the family: Transfer RNA (tRNA) molecules are approximately 80 nucleotides in length. Their secondary structure includes four short double-helical elements and three loops (D, anti-codon, and T loops).
Source: Rfam by way of RNAcentral